UGGGGAAUAUUGCGCAAUGGACGAAAGUCUGACGCAGCGACGCCGCGUGUGGGAGGAAGCUCUUCGGGGUGUAAACCACUGUCAGGAGGGAAGAACGGCGCCGGUUCGAACAGUUCCGGCGAUUGACGGUACCUCCAAAGGAAGCGCCGGCUAACUCCGUGCCAGCAGCCGCGGUAAGACGGAGGGCGCAAGCGUUGUUCGGAAUUACUGGGCGUAAAGCGCGGGCAGGCGGUCUGUUAAGUCGUUUGUGAAAAUCCGGGGCUCAACCCCGGAAAUGCAUACGAUACUGGCAGGCUGGAGACUGGUAGAGGCUAGCGGAAUUCCUGGUGUAGCGGUGGAAUGCGUAGAUAUCAGGAAGAACACCUGAGGUGAAGACGGGUUGCUGGGCUGACACUGACGCUGAGGCGCGAAAGCCAGGGGAGCAAACGGGAUUAGAUACCCCCGUAGUCCCUGAGCGGGCUGGCAAGGCGCAU
This 473-nucleotide ribosomal RNA is filed under the name uncultured bacterium. RNAcentral describes it as "bacterial SSU rRNA". It matches the Rfam family "Bacterial small subunit ribosomal RNA", at positions 355 to 825 of the family's 1533-position model. The record is from RNAcentral.